RNAcentral lists this unclassified non-coding RNA (401 nucleotides) under Athalia rosae (coleseed sawfly). RNAcentral's name for it is "misc RNA ENSAEAG00005006211.1". Lineage: Eukaryota; Metazoa; Arthropoda; Insecta; Hymenoptera; Athaliidae. The record is from RNAcentral.
CUUAAGUGAUUGUGAGUUAUAAUAAACUAGCAUGUAUUUACAAUGCUGAUAACUAUAAAGGUAGCGAUUGUAGAAAAAAAUUAAUUAAUUUGCAAUCGCAUUGUCAUUAGGUCGUCUCGGAGCAUGUUGCACAGAUGGGUACCUUCCCGCAUGCUACAAGUCAGUAUAAAGACAAAAUUUCAACUCAAUGAAAUAUGAGUAGAUGAACGUCAAGAGAAUCUAACCAGAAGAUUUAGAAAAAAAGAACUGCGAUUAAAUGGUAUUGAAUUCAACUGUCGGAUGCCUGGAGAAUGACAUAAGGGCCAGACUAAUCGCGGUUCGGAAAGAUUUUAUCACUUCCGGAGACAAAAGAGGACCCAAGCCCUUGAAGAUACUUAUUACCGUUUCCCAGGUACUUGAAA